Molecule: ribosomal RNA, 511 nt
Filed under: Microbacterium sp. 5 (2010)
Lineage: Bacteria; Bacillati; Actinomycetota; Actinomycetes; Micrococcales; Microbacteriaceae
Description: bacterial SSU rRNA
Rfam family: Bacterial small subunit ribosomal RNA
Source: RNAcentral
CAAGCAUUCGCUGGCGGCGUGCUUACACAUGCAAGUCGAGCGGUGCUCACGGGGCUUGCUCUGUGGGAUCAGUGGCGGACGGGUGAGUAACACGUGAGCAACCUGCCCCUGACUCUGGGAUAACCCCUGGAAACCGCGUCUAAUACUGGAUAUUUGAUUUGAUCGCAUGGUCUGCGUCUGGAAAGAAUUUCGGUUGGGGAUGGGCUCUGGGCCUAUCAGCUUGUAGGUGAGGUAAUGGCUCACCAGCGCACCAACGGGACGAUGGCCUGCCGACCUGACAGGGUGAUCUGGCACACUGACACUGACACAACUCCCACACUCGGACGGGAGGGGGAAUAUUGGACACUGCCGCCAUGCCCGAUGCUCCGACGGCGCGUGAGGGACUAAGUGAUUCAGGUUGUCAAACUCUUUUACUCUGUUGUAAGGGAAAAUGACGUUUCCUACUAACUGCCCGCCCGCUAACUACAUCCCACCAGACAGCGUAGGCUAACUACGUGCCAGCCGCCCGGUA